RNAcentral lists this ribosomal RNA (406 nucleotides) under uncultured prokaryote. RNAcentral's name for it is "bacterial SSU rRNA". It matches the Rfam family "Bacterial small subunit ribosomal RNA", at positions 355 to 776 of the family's 1533-position model. The record is from RNAcentral.
UGGGGAAUAUUGCACAAUGGGCGAAAGCCUGAUGCAGCAACGCCGCGUGAGCGAUGAAGGCCUUUGGGUCGUAAAGCUCUGUCCUUGGGGAAGAAUAAAUGACGGUACCCUUGGAGGAAGCCCCGGCUAACUACGUGCCAGCAGCCGCGGUAAUACGUAGGGGGCGAGCGUUGUCCGGAAUGAUUGGGCGUAAAGGGCGCGUAGGCGGCCGAGCAAGUCAGUAGUGGAAGUCCAAUUUUCAAGGUUGGAAGUGCUAUUGAAACUGCAGGGCUUGAGUGCAGGAGAGGUUAUCGGAAUUCCCGGUGUAGCGGUGAAAUGCGUAGAGAUCGGGAGGAACACCAGUGGCGAAGGCGGGUAACUGGACUGCAACUGACGCUGAGGCGCGAAAGUGUGGGGAGCAAACAGG